CGUGUAGGCGGCCAGAAAAGUCCGCUGUGAAAACUCGAGGCUCAACUUCGAGCUGUCGGUGGAAACUUUCUGGCUAGAGUCCGGAAGAGGAGAAUGGAAUUCCUGGUGUAGCGGUGAAAUGCGCAGAUAUCAGGAAGAACACCCGUGGCGAAGGCGGUUCUCUGGGACGGUACUGACGCUGAGACGCGAAAGCGUGGGAGCGAACA
RNAcentral lists this ribosomal RNA (206 nucleotides) under uncultured bacterium. RNAcentral describes it as "partial 16S ribosomal RNA". It matches the Rfam family "Bacterial small subunit ribosomal RNA", at positions 568 to 774 of the family's 1533-position model. The record is from RNAcentral.